This 194-nucleotide ribosomal RNA is filed under the name uncultured bacterium. Its description in RNAcentral is "partial 16S ribosomal RNA". It matches the Rfam family "Bacterial small subunit ribosomal RNA", at positions 1307 to 1500 of the family's 1533-position model. The record is from RNAcentral.
GCAACUCGCCUACAUGAAGUCGGAAUCGCUAGUAAUCGCGGAUCAGCAUGCCGCGGUGAAUACGUUCCCGGGCCUUGUACACACCGCCCGUCACACCACGAGAGUUUGUAACACCCAAAGCCGGUGGGGUAACCUUUUGGAGCCAGCCGUCUAAGGUGGGACAGAUGAUUGGGGUGAAGUCGUAACAAGGUACC